AUUGAACGCUGGCGGCAGGCUUAACACAUGCAAGUCGAGCGGGGGAAGGUAGCUUGCUACCGGACCUAGCGGCGGACGGGUGAGUAAUGCUUAGGAAUCUGCCUAUUAGUGGGGGACAACAUCUCGAAAGGGAUGCUAAUACCGCAUACGUCCUACGGGAGAAAGCAGGGGAUCUUCGGACCUUGCGCUAAUAGAUGAGCCUAAGGGGGAUUAGCUAGUUGGUGGGGUAAAGGCCUACCAAGGCGACGAUCUGUAGCGGGUCUGAGAGGAUGAUCCGCCACACUGGGACUGAGACACGGCCCAGACUCCUACGGGAGGCAGCAGUGGGGAAUAUUGGACAAUGGGGGGAACCCUGAUCCAGCCAUGCCGCGUGUGUGAAGAAGGCCUUAUGGUUGUAAAGCACUUUAAGCGAGGAGGAGGCUACUCUAGUUAAUACCUAGGGAUAGUGGACGUUACUCGCAGAAUAAGCACCGGCUAACUCUGUGCCAGCAGCCGCCGCGG
RNAcentral lists this ribosomal RNA (501 nucleotides) under uncultured bacterium. RNAcentral describes it as "partial 16S ribosomal RNA". It matches the Rfam family "Bacterial small subunit ribosomal RNA", at positions 30 to 523 of the family's 1533-position model. The record is from RNAcentral.